Molecule: long non-coding RNA, 6086 nt
Organism: Chlorocebus sabaeus (green monkey)
Lineage: Eukaryota; Metazoa; Chordata; Mammalia; Primates; Cercopithecidae
Source: RefSeq, a predicted model, not a curated record
GUUGCAGUGAGCAGAGAUCAUCACGCCACUGCACUCCACCCUGGGUGAUAGGGCGAGACUCUGCCUCAAAAUAAUAAUAAUAAUAAUAAUAAUAAUAAUAAUAAUAAUACUAUUAAGAGGAAGUCUUGAGAGCAAAGUUGAAAGUUCCUCAGAGGCCUCAAGGCCUUGCCUAGACAUGAGUGAAAAACAGCUGAGCCCUGGAAACAUCUCCAGGGGGGUUCUCUGCAGGGUGAGCUUCCUAACAGAGUGCGGAAAUGAAGAAUUGGGCCUACACUGCUGAGAGCAAGGAAGAGAAGCAGCUCCCCGCCCCAGUCCUACAAGUCCCAGGCCAGCCACCAGUAUUCCUCCAUCUCAUCGGAGAGGAAUGUGCUGGCAUGCCGCAAGUUGGUCUGAAGAAUGUGGAGUUUCCGUACUACUUCAGAAGAUCCCAAAUGACACUGCAGGGAAGAACCAGUUGGGGGCUGGGGAAACCAGUGUUUUUUGGAGAAAGAGAAACAGCUGUUUAAGCACGAGUGUCGGAAGGAAGUCCUGUUCCCUACUGCCAACCCACGAGGCAUGACCACAGUCCAGUCACAGGAGCUGCUAUAACAAGACGACAAGGAGGCAAGACUGAGCCACUACUGAUUAAUGCCUGUUGAUCUUCAACAAUGGGCGAUUCCGACAAAUGCAAGAAAGGAAAAAUCACUAGCCAAUAACAUGGGGAUCCUCUCCUAUAAACAGCAAGGAAUCCCAUGGAAGGAAUUCUAAUUUUAUCCAUUUAAGCAACUAUUGGUUACUCAUGCAGGUUCAGAAACAGAGGGGACUAUGAGUUGAUAAAUAAUGUAAAGGUUUAUCAACUAUAUGUAAAUCCUCUAUCUCAAGUCUUUUAUCAGAAUUGCUAACAAGUUGUGAGUCUGAUUUAAUUUCUUUCAUUCACUUCCUUUCUGUUGACUUUGGCAGGUAAGGAUCAGUGAAUUAGAGGAGGUAAGUGGAAUUCAAGACAAUACUCUCUGGAAUAUGUAUUCCCUUAGAGUUCUUCAAAAGCCCUUAUCUUGCCCUAGUGGUAUAUCAUAAGUCAGUAACAAUAACAGAAAAUCUUGUUUUUUUAAAACUAAACAUUCCAAUGCCUAAAAGUCUAAACAGACUAAGAACAAAUGCCAAAUAAACCAAGAUGUGCCAUUUUAAUGGGAAAAAUAUGAAAUAUGACAUGUAAAUAGAAAUCCCACAUUUAUAAAAGCAGGCAAAUGAUAAUGUGUGACAAAUACUUACAGGCAAAUGAGAAAAAGUAGAAAAAGUUCCUCCUUCUAAAAUAAUCUUUUUACAGCAUACAAUUCUCUUAAAUUCUGACACUUAUGCCUGCUUGAAAAAACAAUUUCAGUCAACACUUCCCACUCUGUUAUUCAACCCCAAGGCAUGCAAUUUUUCUUAAAUGGUCCCAAAAUACGUUCAUGCACAAGAAGCAGGCAUCAAUUGACUUGCAACAUGACAAAGUCAUCCUACAGCUUGACUUCUACCCAGUUGCUAUGUCAUCAGGUACUAAACCUCAAAUUCUCUGUGGCCCACUCCUUCUCUCCUUCUCCUUCCUUUGAGGACUAUCACAAAGCCUCUAAGUGCGGGAUUCUUUCCAGUGAUCACCACCUCACACUAUGCACAUCCCUUCGAAAGACAGCUUUGCAGCUUCAACGACAGUAUACGCAGAAUGGCGUGUUCCUCUCCUGGGUCAACUCCUCCAUUCCACAACAGGAUCCUGCAACUUCCCACUCCCUAAAAUCUCUGUCUCACUCUUGAAUACUUUUGUCAUUUAGCUUCUCUUUCUCUUCUGGCUCCUUCCUUCCUUUAAAAACCUUAAGUCACAACUCACCAAAUCAUGAGACAACUCCAGGAUCACAUGCUCAAAUCUUACUUGACAGCCUCACUAGGCCAUCUAAAGGGCAUGUCUAGCUUAUGUCCAAAACUUGAUCUUGUUUGGAAACCUGAUACUCAUUCAGUGUUCCCAUCUCAAUCAAUGAUACCACUCAAAUGGCUCAGGACAAAACUUUGGAAUCAUCCUCAAUUCCCCUCUUUCUCUCACACCACACAUCUCAUUCAACAACAAAUUCAGGCGACUCUGCUUUCACAAUUUAUCCAGAAUCCAACCACUUGUCUCCACAGCUGCCACUGCUAUCCUGUCUGAGCCACCACCUCUCCCACCUGGCAUACUGAAACAACCUAAAUGAACUCCCACCUCCUCUCUUACUCUUUCAUUACUCUCUGUGCCGCAUUCAGAGGGGUCAUUUUCAAAGGUCUAUGAAGCUCUUUCAUUCUCCUUCUCAAUUUUUCCAAAGGCUUCCCAUCACAUCUAGAACAUAACCCAAAGUUUUACAUGACCCACACAGUUCCUAGAAGCCCCAGAGCCUACAAGGUCAUCUCCAACUUCAUUUCCUACCACACUCUGCCUUGUUCAAUCCAUUCCAGUCACACUGACUUUCUUACUAUUUUUCAAACACACAACUGUGAAUAUCAUUGGUGCACAUGAAUUAAAUACUACCUCUCUGCAAACAUUAAAUUGAUCCAUCUACCAACCUGCUUCUCUGAUACAGCCUCAGGAUACACAUUCUGUCUACAAGGUGUCUCAAGCUAGAUGUUCCUAUGCCAGCACAAAUCAGACAAUGCAAAAAGGAGCUGCUCCCCCAUCACGAGGCUGGAAGCCUUGAAGUAGCUGCCAACCUUCACUGUACUUCAACCCACAAUAAGUUGGCUGCCAAAUCCUCCCGUGUUCCCCAGCGCGAAGUCUCAAUUUGCCCUUUCCUCUUCCUUCCUCUAUUCAGAGUCCUGUGCUUGUCCUGGUCAUCUCCUCACUGAAACCCCACACCUCUUCCAGUUGCCCUUAGUUUCCUCCUACGGCUAUAACAAGUAUCCUUCCAGAAGUCUCACAAAAGAUUCUGUCUAUAUCCGUGUUCAGGUGCCAGGGAGUCAGCCUCCAUUCCCCUCCCACUUAAUCCUCCUAUUGUCUUCUACUGUCUACAUGUGGUUACUGCAAUUAAUUAAAAAUCCAGUUCCUCAGCUGCACUAAGCAUAUUUUGAGUGCUCAAGGGCCGCAAGUGGCUGGUGGUCACCCUACUGAACAGUGCAGCUGCAGGGCAUUCCACUUUAAUGCAUUUAUCCCCCAUACAUUUAUCAACUCAACAUUUUAUACAUUUAUCAACCCAACACUUUUAUCAACAGUGCAGCUGUAGGACACAGGAAGUUCUAUUGGAUAGUACAGAACCUAUCCCCUCUGGCAAACCUAUUCAAGUCCCACAACAAAAUCUUUGAGAAUAGAUCCCAUACCCAAUCAGCCCUUUGAACCUGAUUUUUUACUAAGACCUCAUGUUUCAAUUUUAAGGAAGUCCUAAAAUGUUCCUCCCUGAGAUCCGUCCAAUUUUAAAGGAAAGGUAUAUUACACACCCAUCUCCCUAUCCCUCAUAAACAUGACUUCCCUUUCAUAAAACUUCUCUUCUAUGCAGAGUAAAUAUUUACAUAUUAAUAUUCAAUGUAUACCUUUUCCAAUUCUACUCAGCUGUUAUGCGUGAGUACAUAGUAAAUGUGCUCAACAUGUUGACUAUUUUAGACAGAAUGGUUUUGGGGGCAGAAUCAAUAUUGAAUGGUGCCAAGCACAGAAAGCUCUUUAAAAAGUGUGUUUUCAUAAGAGUGAUGACAUAGUGGGGAAGCAGUUAGGCUUUGGAGUUGCCCAGGUCUAGAACUGUUCUGCCACUUACUAGCCAGGGACCUUGGACAAGUUAUUUAAUUCCUCAUCAUCCUCAGUUUAAGUAUUGGUAAAAGAGAAAAUGGUAACUGUCCUCCUUAUAGAGAAGUGACAAUCAAACGUGAUCACACCUGCAAAUCAUAAUGACCACUCAUUAAUAUUAGUUGAUGAUAAUAAUCAUUUAAAAUCAUUAUAAACAAGAUAAACUUAAAUAAUACUUGUGGAAGUUAAAAGCAAGAUGAAAAGAUAUCCCAAAUGUAAGUACUUGUCUUACAGAAUCAAAUGAAUGUCUUCAGAUACAAUGUAACAGAUAUUACUUAAAUAUCAAACCUUGGAAAAUAGGUUUCAAAGUAACAUAGAUUUGAACAUUUCCAUUCUGUUUCUUGUAUAAAAGCUGCAUUGAGUUUCCAGUCCUUUGGAAAAUUUGUCUCAGGGAUAGUGGAACCUUGCUUGGCAGGUUGAAUAAGUUUCCAUUAGUUAAAUGCAAGCAGGAUGAUUUCAUUUUAAAAGUGAAAUGUGAAAGUGGUUAAACAGGCAGGAUACAACUAAUCAUACUAGUCUUUUUAAAAAUUUGAAAAACAAAACAAGAAGAUGUCUAAUUCAAAGCACAUGUGGGCAUUAUUUUGCAUUAGUGCUUAAAGGCCCAUUCUCCCAGUGGACUGAUAAAAUAGGCACAAACAGUCCAUGCAUUUGGAGCAUGAGAUCUUUCUCCCUACCUUCAAUAGCUGAAAUUCAGAGGUGGCUACACGGACUCAAAAGCCAAAGCCAGUACUUAAUUUUGCCUAACUGGCCAUGCAUUUUUCUCUUGCUAUGGCUUCUAAAUGGGCCAGUGGUUCUUAAUGUGUGCACCCUGGAUCAAUAGCAGCAGUAUCUACCUGGGAACUUGCAAAUGCUUGGGCCUCCCAAUCUACUGCAUCAGAAACUCGGAGGGUGGGGCCCACCAAUGUGUUUGAACAAUACCUACAGAUGUUCUGGUGCCAGAGCAUGGGAAGUACACCUGGGCUGCAUUUAUGCCCUCUGUUUGGGGGCAGCUUCCGCAGAGAAGCCAUUAGGACUCUUCUUAGGUAGUAAUGAGAAAGCUUCCACUGGCUCUCAUUCGCACUGACACAUAAUAUGGACUCAGCCUUCCUCACUAUAACUCAGUUCUCUGAUAUGAAAAUUAAUGGAAUCACUUAUAAUGUUCAGCAGUGCCUAGGAAGUAGGGCCUCUGUGACAAACCUGGGCCAUGUGGAGAAAGCAAACCCUAAUUAAUUCAUUUUGUCAAUCACAAAGAAAACUGGCCAAAGAAAACUCCUGGCCCAAAAUCGUAUGGUUUAAUUUCUUCGCCUCUAUAGGAAGAGUUAUUGAUCCACAAUGAGAGAUGGAAUAACUACAUAAAAGAUGGAGUAUCGCAGUUAGUUUAGGAAAGCCUCUAACACUUCCUUUUUUGAAAAAAAAAAAUUUUGCAAAGCAAAAGAAUCACAGAAUUAUAUGACAAAUUCCCACUGACUAUAUAAAAAACGGCAAGGAAAGAUAUACAGGCAACCCUCUUCAGAUGUUUUUCAAGACAUAACAUUUCUUAACAGUCAAAACUCAGAGGGAAACAGAGAAGUAUUCUGGAUCUCAAAACGUGAAUAAUCACGCGAAAUGACUUAUAAGCAACAAUGCCUUAAAUGACUUUUGUUGUCAUGUUUUAAAAGAUCCAAAACAAAAUGAAAGCUCAUUUUAAUACUUUGAUGCUUCCAUAAUGUUGACAGUUAUAUUUUCACAAUUCAAAUAUAUUCUCCAGCAGAGUGCCUUAUUCAUUUUUUAGUGGAAGGAAAUAAAAUUCAAUAUGCAUAAAUUUAAGGUCUUAUGCUUUUUAAAAAACAGGCUUUGAAGUAUUUUUUAAACAAGCAUCCGUCACAUAUUUUUGUAAUUAAGAUAAUUUAGAGAAACGAGCAGUCUUUCAUAAAUUAAUGUAAAAGAUACUGCAUAGUUAUAUAUGGCUCCAAUUUCUGAAAGGAGAACCUUAACAGUAGUUAUGUCUGAACAGUGGGAUAGAGAUAGGCAUGGUAGAGAAGUAAGACUACUUUUAAAAAGUAGUUUUUUUUGUAGAGAUGGGAUCUUACCAUGUUGUCCAGGCUGGUUUCAAACUCCUGGGCUCAAGCAGUCCUCCUGCCUCAACUUCCCAAAGUCCUGGGAUUAUAGGCAUGAGCCACUGUGCCUGGCCAAACUUUACCUUUUUCACUUUAAGUCCUUGGGUCCUAUUCAAAUUUAUUUUUGUACAUAUUUUGUAUAAUUUUAAAAACUACCCCAGUUAGAAAUAAGUUAAAAAUAAUAAAUCCAUAUUAUUACACCAUCAACCUUUGGUACACAUUACGCUGAAUGUCACUUAAAGACUUCAGGUUGCCAUUUCAGAUAA